Molecule: transfer RNA, 97 nt
Filed under: Tilletia horrida
Lineage: Eukaryota; Fungi; Basidiomycota; Exobasidiomycetes; Tilletiales; Tilletiaceae
Description: tRNA-Ser
Rfam family: tRNA
About the family: Transfer RNA (tRNA) molecules are approximately 80 nucleotides in length.
Source: RNAcentral
GUCGUUGUACCGAAGUGGUUAACGGGAUGGUCUCGAAUCGUGUAGUUUCGCGAACCAUUGGGCUCUGCCCGCGCAAGUUCGAAUCUUGUCGACGACG